Molecule: ribosomal RNA, 623 nt
Filed under: Saccharomyces cerevisiae (brewer's yeast)
Lineage: Eukaryota; Fungi; Ascomycota; Saccharomycetes; Saccharomycetales; Saccharomycetaceae
Description: partial large subunit ribosomal RNA
Rfam family: Eukaryotic large subunit ribosomal RNA
Source: RNAcentral
CCAACGGGAUGCUUAGUACGGCGAGUGAAGCGGCAAAAGCUCAAAUUUGAAAUCUGGUACCUUCGGUGCCCGAGUUGUAAUUUGGAGAGGGCAACUUUGGGGCCGUUCCUUGUCUAUGUUCCUUGGAACAGGACGUCAUAGAGGGUGAGAAUCCCGUGUGGCGAGGAGUGCGGUUCUUUGUAAAGUGCCUUCGAAGAGUCGAGUUGUUUGGGAAUGCAGCUCUAAGUGGGUGGUAAAUUCCAUCUAAAGCUAAAUAUUGGCGAGAGACCGAUAGCGAACAAGUACAGUGAUGGAAAGAUGAAAAGAACUUUGAAAAGAGAGUGAAAAAGUACGUGAAAUUGUUGAAAGGGAAGGGCAUUUGAUCAGACAUGGUGUUUUGUGCCCUCUGCUCCUUGUGGGUAGGGGAAUCUCGCAUUUCACUGGGCCAGCAUCAGUUUUGGUGGCAGGAUAAAUCCAUAGGAAUGUAGCUUGCCUCGGUAAGUAUUAUAGCCUGUGGGAAUACUGCCAGCUGGGACUGAGGACUGCGACGUAAGUCAAGGAUGCUGGCAUAAUGGUUAUAUGCCGCCCGUCUAAAACAAGGGAAAAAAAAAAAAAAGAAAAAAGAAACAGAAAAAAAAAAAACA